CUCUUGUCUCGUGGAUAUCUCACCUCUCAGACAGCAGAAAUAAAAGCCUGUUGUAACAGGAAGAGUAAUGAUCUGGUGGAAGGCUCCUGCAGCUGCACCACCAGGGCAGAUCUUCUACAAGUGGAGCUGUUUGCCAGCAGGAUUUUGUCCUGGGCCCAGCUGGGAGCUCAAGGCAGCUGGAGAAGCAGAGAUGCUUGCAGAGUUCCUGAGCAGCAGUCCCUGCCUGGAGGAAACCCUUCUCCCUCUCUCUCUGCUGCAUCUGGAGACAUUGUGAGAACCUUGGAGCAUGCAGGCAUUUGGACCUCUCAGCAAUGGAGAAUUUUGUCUCCAAAAUUCCUGGUCUAUUUUUGAAAUAUGGCCAUGAUGUGAGUGUGAUUUGAGGGACGGAGAACUUAUCCAGAACUCAGCACUUCUGGAGGUCUCAGAUGAGAACACAUCCCUCAAUGAAUCUGCUACAGACAACAGCUACUGGGCAAUCUGUGAGCUCAUCCAGAGCAGGACUUGGCUCAGCCUUCCCUACAUUUGCCUUGAAUGCAACAUCCCAGCUUGAUCAUAGCUGGAGCUUCCCCUCAUCAAAGCAGAAAAUAAGCAGAAGAACCAACCACCUGCCACUCACUUGGUCACCUCAACAAAGCCAGGCUGGGGCUGAGAAUCAAUAGCAAUGAAACUGAGCCUUUGUGGUGAGUUCUGUCUGAACUGGGAGAGCAAACAACACCUGGAGGAGCUGGGGAUGGGC
This is a long non-coding RNA of Melospiza georgiana, 736 nucleotides long. RefSeq lists it as uncharacterized. The transcript is spliced from 3 exons. NCBI's taxonomy places the organism in Eukaryota, Metazoa, Chordata, Aves, Passeriformes, Passerellidae. The record is from RefSeq and is a predicted model, not a curated record.